UCCGGCGUAGUCUAGUCUGGUUAGGAUACCUGGCUUUCAAGUCAGCGAGGCGAAGCCCUCGAACGAAAUGCCCAGGCGACCCGGGUUCGAGUCCCGGCGUCGGAA
Molecule: transfer RNA, 105 nt
Filed under: Klebsormidium nitens
Lineage: Eukaryota; Viridiplantae; Streptophyta; Klebsormidiophyceae; Klebsormidiales; Klebsormidiaceae
Rfam family: tRNA
About the family: Transfer RNA (tRNA) molecules are approximately 80 nucleotides in length.
Source: Rfam by way of RNAcentral